AUUGAACGCUGGCGGCAUGCCUUACACAUGCAAGUCGAACGGCAGCACGGGUGCUUGCACCUGGUGGCGAGUGGCGAACGGGUGAGUAAUACAUCGGAACAUGUCCUGUAGUGGGGGAUAGCCCGGCGAAAGCCGGAUUAAUACCGCAUACGAUCUACGGAUGAAAGCGGGGGACCUUCGGGCCUCGCGCUAUAGGGUUGGCCGAGAGCUGAUUAGCUAGUUGGUGGGGUAAAGGCCUACCAAGGCGACGUUCAGUAGCUGGUCUGAGAGGACGACCAGCCACACUGGAACUGGGACACGGCCCAGACUCCUACGGGAGGCAGCAGUGGGGAAUUUUGGACAAUGGGCGAAGGCCUGAUCCAGCAAUGCCGCGUGUGGGAAGAAGGCCUUCGGGUUGUAAAGCACUUUUGUCCGGAAAGAAAUCCUUGGCUCUAAUACAGUCGGGGGAUGACGGUACCGGAAGAAUAAGCACCGGCUAACUACGUG
Molecule: ribosomal RNA, 486 nt
Filed under: uncultured bacterium
Lineage: Bacteria
Description: partial 16S ribosomal RNA
Rfam family: Bacterial small subunit ribosomal RNA
Source: RNAcentral